GCGCACCAGGCGCGAAACUUUACAAUGUGCGAAAGCACGAUAAGGGAACUCUGAGUGCCUCCUAAGGAGGCUGUUCUGAUGUCUAAAAGCAACAGAAGUAAGGGCUGGGUAAGACCGGUGCCAGCCGCCGCGGUAACACCGGCAGCCCAAGUGGUAGCCACGUUUAUUGGGUCUAAAGCGUUCGUAGCCGGCCAGGUAAGUUCCUUGGUAAAUUUAGCCGCUUAACGGUUAAGCUUUCAGGGAAUACUGCUUGGCUUGGGACUGGGGAGAGGUCAGAGGUACUCCGGGGGUAGGGGUGAAAUCUAUUAAUCCCUGGGGGACCACCGGUAGCGAAGGCGUCUGACCAGACCAGGUCCGACGGUGAGGGACGAAGGCUAGGGGCGCGAACCGGAUUAGAUACCCCCGUAGU
RNAcentral lists this ribosomal RNA (409 nucleotides) under uncultured microorganism. RNAcentral describes it as "bacterial SSU rRNA". It matches the Rfam family "Archaeal small subunit ribosomal RNA", at positions 330 to 745 of the family's 1478-position model. The record is from RNAcentral.